RNAcentral lists this unclassified non-coding RNA (952 nucleotides) under Hevea brasiliensis (rubber tree). The record is from RNAcentral. Lineage: Eukaryota; Viridiplantae; Streptophyta; Magnoliopsida; Malpighiales; Euphorbiaceae.
GAUUUCAGUACAAGAUGGAUGAGGGAUCCAACAGACUUAUCAACAUUGGCUACCACUUCAAUCCUGCCAGUUGAUCUUAAUGUAUUCAUACUCAAGAUGGAACUGGACAUUUCCAAUUUGGCAAGAGCUGUUGGAGAUUACUGCACGGCAGAACAAUUCUUUGAGGCUUCUCUAGUCAGAAAGAAGACAAUCAACUCUAUUUUCUGGAAUUCAGAGAAGGGACAAUGGCUUGAUUACUGGCUUGAUAAUGGCUCAUACAAGGGUGCUCAUACAUGGGAUGCUCGAAACCAGAACCAAAACGUAUAUGCUUCGAACUUCAUUCCGUUGUGGAUCGAAUCAUUCUACUCCGAUAAGAAACAAAUGAAGAAAGUCUUGAAAAGUUUACGAAACUCAGGAUUAUUGUGCAAUGCCGGGAUUGCAACUUCAAUGAUUAAUUCAGGAGAACAAUGGGAUUUCCCAAAUGGUUGGGCGCCAAUCCAACACAUGAUCGUCGAGGGACUGGCAAGGUCUGGAUUGAAGGAAGCAAGGGCAUUGGCCGAGGACAUUGCUGCGAGAUGGCUUCGAACCAACUAUGUAGCUUACAAGCACACAGGAUAUAUGCAUGAGAAAUAUGAUGUCCAAAAGUGUGGAGACUUUGGUGGUGGAGGUGAAUAUGUCCCUCAGACUGGUUUUGGAUGGUCAAAUGGAGUUGUUUUGGCAUUCCUCGAAGAGUUUGGAUGGCCGGAAGAUCAAAAGAUAGACUGCUACUUAACUUAUUAAACACAACAACAAGAUUACCAUUCUUCUCUUAGAAUUAUAGGUUAAUGUUUUUAGGUUCUUCACUCUUAGUACAUCUUAAAAGGGAUGGCUGUAAAUUCUUCAAAUCCUAUUUUAUGUUUCUUAAAAUUUGUUUUAAACCACUUUAUGGUUUGCAGAUAUCAUUAUAUCAUUAUGUUCAAGUUGACUGUUAUUU